RNAcentral lists this ribosomal RNA (271 nucleotides) under uncultured bacterium. Its description in RNAcentral is "partial 16S ribosomal RNA". It matches the Rfam family "Bacterial small subunit ribosomal RNA", at positions 524 to 794 of the family's 1533-position model. The record is from RNAcentral.
UACAGAGGGGGCAAGCGUUAUUCGGAAUUAUUGGGCGUAAAGGGCGCGUAGGUGGCUUGAUAAGUCAAAGGUGAAAUCCCUCGGCUCAACCGAGGAACUGCCUUUGAAACUGUCAGGCUUGAGGCCGGGAGAGGGUAGCGGAAUUCCCAGUGUAGCGGUGAAAUGCGUAGAUAUUGGGAGGAACACCGGUGGCGAAGGCGGCUCUCUGGUCCGAUACUGACGCUGAGGUGCGAAAGCGUGGGGAGCAAACAGGAUUAGAAACCCUGGUAGU